RNAcentral lists this microRNA precursor (142 nucleotides) under Gossypium hirsutum (cotton). RNAcentral's name for it is "MIR7502 microRNA precursor family". It matches the Rfam family "MIR7502 microRNA precursor family". Lineage: Eukaryota; Viridiplantae; Streptophyta; Magnoliopsida; Malvales; Malvaceae. The record is from Rfam by way of RNAcentral.
UGUUAAAAAUUUCAUCUAUUUAUACCGUUAAAACUGACAUGACUAGCGAAAUAACCAAACAGUUACACGUGACAUACUAUUUAUACCUCAUACUAACGUAUAGAAUCGAUUUUUAACAAUAGAAUUGAUGAAUUUUUUAAUA